RNAcentral lists this transfer RNA (74 nucleotides) under Chloroflexota bacterium. RNAcentral describes it as "Chloroflexi bacterium tRNA-Val". It matches the Rfam family "tRNA". From Rfam's summary of the family: Transfer RNA (tRNA) molecules are approximately 80 nucleotides in length. Their secondary structure includes four short double-helical elements and three loops (D, anti-codon, and T loops). RNAcentral also lists the same sequence under 1 other name. The record is from RNAcentral. Lineage: Bacteria; Bacillati; Chloroflexota.
GGGCGAUUAGCUCAGUUGGUUAGAGCGCAUGUAUCACACACAUGAGGUCGUAGGUUCAACUCCUAUAUCGCCCA